GGAAAACACCAAGGGAAGGAUGGAAAACAACAAGGGAAGGAUGGAAAACAACAAGGGAAGGAUGGAAAACAAAAAGGGAAGGAUGGAAAACACCGAGGGAAAGAUGGAAAACAAAAAGGGAAGGAUGGAAAACACCGAGGGAAAGGUGGAAAACACCAAGGGAAGGAUGGAAAACAACAAGGGAAGGAUGGAAAACAUCAAGGGAAAGGUGGAAAACAAAAAGGGAAGGAUGGAAAACAAAAAGGGAAGGAUGGAAAACAAAAAGGGAAGGAUGGAAAACAACAAGGGAAGGAUGGAAAACAACAAGGGAAGGAUGGAAAACACCAAGGGAAGGAUGGAAAACAACAAGGGAAGGAUGGAAAACAUCAAGGGAAAGGUGGAAAACACCAAGGGAAGGCUGGAAAACACCGAGGGAAGGCUGGAACACGGGAUGGAAAACCCCACGUGGAAGGACGGAGAACACGCCGUGUACCCCACAAACAUCUCUUGUACAACCCCACAAACCAACCCAGAACCCCAAACCCGCGGAAAUCCGGCUCUGGAACCCCCCCCCAAAUGCAGGGAAAGCUGGUUCUGGACCCCCCAAAUCCAUGGAAAUCCGUGGAAAUCCAUGGAAAGGCGGAGCUGGUCCCUCCCUAGGCGGUGGCAGCUCGCAGGUGGUCGCCCGCCCUCCUCUCCACCUGGGCACAGUAUUUGUCGGGCAUCCCGGUGGCCCUGAGGAGGGAAGGGAAGGAUCCGGAGGGAAGGGAAGGAUCUGGAGGGAAGGGAAGGAUCUGGAGGGAAGGGAAGGAUCCAGAGGGAAGGGAAGGAUCUGGAAUGAAGGGAAGGAUCCGGAGGGAAGGGAAGGAUCUGGAGGGAAGGUUUGGGAAGGAUCUGGAGGGAAGGGAAGGAUCCAGAGGGAAGGGAAGGAUCUGGAGGGAAGGGAAGGAUCCAAAGGGAAGGGAAGGAUUUGGAGGGAAAGGAAGGAUCUGGGGGGAAGGGAAGGAUCCAAAGGGAAGGGAAGGAUCUGGAGGGAAGGGAAG
This 1022-nucleotide long non-coding RNA is filed under the name Manacus vitellinus (golden-collared manakin). RNAcentral describes it as "lncRNA (ENSMVIG00005002766.1)". The record is from RNAcentral. Lineage: Eukaryota; Metazoa; Chordata; Aves; Passeriformes; Pipridae.